AGAGUUUGAUCCUGGCUCAGAUUGAACGCUGGCGGCAUGCCUUACACAUGCAAGUCGAACGGUAACAGGGUGCUUGCUCCGCUGACGAGUGGCGAACGGGUGAGUAAUAUAUCGGAACGUGCCCUGGAGUGGGGGAUAACUAGUCGAAAGAUUAGCUAAUACCGCAUACGAUCUAAGGAUGAAAGUGGGGGAUCGCAAGACCUCAUGCUCGUGGAGCGGCCGAUAUCUGAUUAGCUAGUUGGUGGGGUAAAAGCCCACCAAGGCGACGAUCAGUAGCUGGUCUGAGAGGACGACCAGCCACACUGGGACUGAGACACGGCCCAGACUCCUACGGGAGGCAGCAGUGGGGAAUUUUGGACAAUGGGCGCAAGCCUGAUCCAGCAAUGCCGCGUGAGUGAAGAAGGCCUUCGGGUUGUAAAGCUCUUUUGUCAGGGAAGAAACGGUGCGGGCUAAUAUCCUGUGCUAAUGACGGUACCUGAAGAAUAAGCACCGGCUAACUACGUGCCAGCAGCCGCGGUAAUACGUAGGGUGCGAGCGUUAAUCGGAAUUACUGGGCGUAAAGCGUGCGCAGGCGGUUAUGUAAGACAGAUGUGAAAUGCCCGGGCUUAACCUGGGAACUGCAUUUGUGACUGCAUGGCUAGAGUGUGUCAGAGGGGGGUAGAAUUCCACGUAGCAGUGAAAUGCGUAGAUAUGUGGAGGAAUACCGAUGGCGAAGGCAGCCCCCUGGGAUAACACUGACGCUCAUGCACGAAAGCGUGGGGAGCAAACAGGAUUAGAUACCCUAGUAGUCC
RNAcentral lists this ribosomal RNA (791 nucleotides) under uncultured bacterium. RNAcentral describes it as "bacterial SSU rRNA". It matches the Rfam family "Bacterial small subunit ribosomal RNA", at positions 8 to 796 of the family's 1533-position model. The record is from RNAcentral.